This 253-nucleotide ribosomal RNA is filed under the name uncultured bacterium. RNAcentral's name for it is "partial 16S ribosomal RNA". It matches the Rfam family "Bacterial small subunit ribosomal RNA", at positions 524 to 776 of the family's 1533-position model. The record is from RNAcentral.
UACGUAGGGGGCAAGCGUUGUCCGGAUUUAUUGGGCGUAAAGAGCGUGUAGGCGGCUUCACAGGUCCGCUGUGAAAACUCGAGGCUCAACCUCGAGACGUCGGCGGAAACCAUCUGGCUAGAGUCCGGAAGAGGAGAGUGGAAUUCCUGGUGUAGCGGUGAAAUGCGCAGAUAUCAGGAAGAACACCCGUGGCGAAGGCGGCUCUCUGGGACGGUACUGACGCUGAGACGCGAAAGCGUGGGGAGCGAACAGG